RNAcentral lists this ribosomal RNA (165 nucleotides) under Lilium pardanthinum. RNAcentral describes it as "5.8S ribosomal RNA". It matches the Rfam family "5.8S ribosomal RNA". Rfam says of the family: 5.8S ribosomal RNA (5.8S rRNA) is a component of the large subunit of the eukaryotic ribosome. It is transcribed by RNA polymerase I as part of the 45S precursor that also contains 18S and 28S rRNA. Functionally, it is thought that 5.8S rRNA may be involved in ribosome translocation. RNAcentral also lists the same sequence under 13 other names. The record is from RNAcentral. Lineage: Eukaryota; Viridiplantae; Streptophyta; Magnoliopsida; Liliales; Liliaceae.
UAUACGACUCUCGGCAACGGAUAUCUCGGCUCUCGCAUCGAUGAAGAACGUAGCGAAAUGCGAUACUUGGUGUGAAUUGCAGAAUCCCGUGAACCAUCGAGUCUUUGAACGCAAGUUGCGCCCGAGGCCUUUCGGUUGAGGGCACGCCUGCCUGGGCGUCACGCC